GCGGUAGCGUCAGGCCAGUGCUGCGGCCUGAGCAGCCAGUGUCCGGCAUGAAGGUCUGGGGUCUGGCUGCUGCUUACUCCUUGCUCCAGCACCAUGGAAUGCCUGCGCAGUUUGCCCUGCCUCCUGCCCCGCGCCAUGAGACUUCCCCGCCGGACGCUGUGUGCCCUGGCCUUGGACUUGACCUCUGUGGCUCCUCCCGUUGCUGCUUCCGGCCGCCGAGCCAACCUGAUUGGAAGGAGCCGGGCGGCGCAGCUUUGCGAGCCGGGGCGGCUCCGCGUGGCAGGUGAAGUGCACCGGUUUAGAACUUCUGACGUCUCUCAAGCCACUUUAGCCAGUGUAGCCCCAGUAUUUACUGUGACAAAAUUUGACAAACAGGGAAACGUUACUUCUUUUGUAUUUGAAAGCUGUGAUAACUCCAGAGUGUCUUCUGAUAUUAGAUUAUCGUAAUUUAAACUUAGAGCAAUGGCUGUUCCGGGAACUCCCUUCACAGUUGUCUGGAGAGGGUCAACUCGUUACAUACCCUUUACCUUUUGAGUUUAGAGCUAUAGAAGCACUCCUGCAAUAUUGGAUCAACACCCUUCAGGGGAAACUUAGCGUUUUGCAGCCACUGAUCCUUGAGACCUUGGAUGCUUUGGUGGACCCCAAACAUUCUUCUGUAGACAAAAGCAAACUGCACAUUUUACUACAGAAUGGCAAAAGUCUAUCAGAGUUAGAAACAGAUAUUAAAAUUUUCAAAGAGUCAAUUUUGGAGAUCUUGGAUGAGGAAGAGUUGCUAGAAGAGCUCUGUGUAUCAAAAUGGAGUGAUCCACAAGUCUUUGAAAAGAGCAGUGCUGGGAUUGACCAUGCAGAAGAGAUGGAGUUGCUGUUAGAAAACUACUACCGAUUGGCUGACGAUCUCUCCAAUGCAGCUCGCGAGCUUAGGGUGCUGAUUGAUGAUUCACAAAGCAUUAUUUUCAUUAAUCUGGACAGCCACCGUAACGUGAUGAUGAGGUUGAAUCUACAGCUGACCAUGGGAACCUUCUCUCUUUCGCUCUUUGGACUAAUGGGAGUUGCUUUUGGAAUGAAUUUGGAAUCUUCCCUUGAAGAGGUGAGAAUGUAUUAUUUCUAAAACUUGGGGGGUUUUGGCUGGACAUGGUGGCUCAUGCCUGUAAUCCUAGCACUUUGGGAGGCUGAGGCAGGUUGAUCACCUGAGGUCAGGAGUUUGAGAGCAACCUGGCCAACAUGGCGAAACCCUGUCUCUACUAAAAAUACAAAAAUUACACAGGCGCAGUGGCAGGCACCUGUAAUCCCAGCUACUUGGGAGGCUGAGGCAGGAGAAUCGCUUGAACCCAGGAGGCGGAGGUUGCAGUGAGCUGAGAUCGCGCCGUUGCACUCCAGCCUGGGAGACAGAGUGAGAUUCUGUCUCCAAAAAAAAAAAAAAAAGAUUGGGUUUUGAAGAUCGUUUUUUUUUUUUUAAUGGAUUUAAAAAAUAAAGGCUGGGCACCUUGGCUCACGCCUGUAAUCCCAGCACUUUGGGAGGCUGAGGCAGGUGGAUCACGAGUUAAGGAGAUCGAGGCCAUCCUGGCUAACAUGGUGAUACCCUGUCUCUACUAAAAAUACAAAAAAUUAGCCGGGCUUAGUGGCAGACGCCUGUAGUCCCAGCUACUGGGGAGGCUGAGGCAGGAGAAUGGCGUGAAUCCAGGAGGCGGAGCUUGCAGUGAGCCAGGAUCACGCCACUGCACUCCAGCCUGGGCGACAGGACAGAGUGAGACUCUGUCUC
RNAcentral lists this small RNA (1759 nucleotides) under Pongo abelii (Sumatran orangutan). Its description in RNAcentral is "processed transcript". Lineage: Eukaryota; Metazoa; Chordata; Mammalia; Primates; Hominidae. The record is from RNAcentral.